AUGACUUUAUAUUCGCCUAUUAAUUAGAUAAAUAUUGCACUCUAUUAUCAAUUUGUUAUUGUGUGCCUCGGCUGAUUCCUGGACGAGGGAUUACACACAUGUAAGCGUGUGGAGUUUUGGAUAGAAAUUCCGGGCGUGACACCUGUCGCCCCACGAGGCGCCGUCAACGAGUUGGGUUGUUUGGGAAUGCAGCCCAAAUCGGGCGAUAAACUCCGUCCAAGGUUAAAUACAGGCGAGAGACCGAUAGCGAACAAGUACCGCGAGGGAAAGAUGAAAAGGACUUUGAAAAGAGAGUCAAAGAGUGCUUGAAAUUGUCGGGAGGGAAGCGGUCGGGGCCGGCGAUGCACCCCGGCCGUAUGCGGAAUGGCUCCGGCUGGUCCGCCAAUUGG
Molecule: non-coding RNA, 389 nt
Filed under: Oryza punctata
Lineage: Eukaryota; Viridiplantae; Streptophyta; Magnoliopsida; Poales; Poaceae
Description: rRNA LSU_rRNA_eukarya
Rfam family: Eukaryotic large subunit ribosomal RNA
Source: RNAcentral